RNAcentral lists this ribosomal RNA (496 nucleotides) under uncultured Microbacterium sp. RNAcentral describes it as "bacterial SSU rRNA". It matches the Rfam family "Bacterial small subunit ribosomal RNA", at positions 353 to 859 of the family's 1533-position model. Lineage: Bacteria; Bacillati; Actinomycetota; Actinomycetes; Micrococcales; Microbacteriaceae. The record is from RNAcentral.
AGGGGGGAAUAUUGCACAAUGGGCGAAAGCCUGAUGCAGCAACGCCGCGUGAGGGAUGACGGCCUUCGGGUUGUAAACCUCUUUUAGCAGGGAAGAAGCGAAAGUGACGGUACCUGCAGAAAAAGCGCCGGCUAACUACGUGCCAGCAGCCGCGGUAAUACGUAGGGCGCAAGCGUUAUCCGGAAUUAUUGGGCGUAAAGAGCUCGUAGGCGGUUUGUCGCGUCUGCUGUGAAAUCCCGAGGCUCAACCUCGGGCCUGCAGUGGGUACGGGCAGACUAGAGUGCGGUAGGGGAGAUUGGAAUUCCUGGUGUAGCGGUGGAAUGCGCAGAUAUCAGGAGGAACACCGAUGGCGAAGGCAGAUCUCUGGGCCGUAACUGACGCUGAGGAGCGAAAGGGUGGGGAGCAAACAGGCUUAGAUACCCUGGUAGUCCACCCCGUAAACGUUGGGAACUAGUUGUGGGGACCAUUCCACGGUUUCCGUGACGCAGCUAACGCA